GGGGGAUGAGGUGGGACAUCAGGUCUCUGACUUUUAAUCAGGGUGUCGCAGGUUCGAGCCCUGCACGGCCUACCA
This 75-nucleotide transfer RNA is filed under the name Chloroflexota bacterium. Its description in RNAcentral is "Chloroflexi bacterium (marine metagenome) tRNA-Lys". RNAcentral also lists the same sequence under 1 other name. The record is from RNAcentral. Lineage: Bacteria; Bacillati; Chloroflexota.